Long non-coding RNA from Helianthus annuus (common sunflower), 211 nucleotides. RefSeq lists it as uncharacterized. NCBI's taxonomy places the organism in Eukaryota, Viridiplantae, Streptophyta, Magnoliopsida, Asterales, Asteraceae. The record is from RefSeq and is a predicted model, not a curated record. The transcript has 3 exons.
AGAUGAGAAAUUGUUAAAUCUCUUGAUGUUGAAGAUGGUUAUCUCCCGUCAAAGCGUUCGGAUUCUUGGUUAAAGGUGAAGUGAAAUUAUGUCGAAGGUUUAAAUGAUUUCUUGGGCUUGGUUCCUAUUGGUGCUUGGUACGGGAAUGGAAGGAAUGCUGGCUGGUACAGUCCAUUUCUCAUGGCUUGCUAUGAUCCCGACACUAAUGUCC